RNAcentral lists this ribosomal RNA (1296 nucleotides) under Triticum aestivum (bread wheat). RNAcentral describes it as "partial small subunit ribosomal RNA". Lineage: Eukaryota; Viridiplantae; Streptophyta; Magnoliopsida; Poales; Poaceae. The record is from RNAcentral.
UCCGUAGUGGGCCAACAUGGUAAAGUUGCUCUGACUUGGUUCGGCCCAGAGCCAAGGGUGGUGGUCAACGACCCUAGACUGUUCCGUGAAAUCCCAUCGAACAAGCGGGGCCACUUUGGGAAGCAGAAGUCCAUGUUUCGGAUCGAGCGGCUGAUGGCCAAUGGGCUGACAGCCCACCCAGGCGACAAGUGGGCCGCCCACCGGAGGAUCAUCAACCAUGCGUUCCAUCUUGACAAGCUCAAGAGGAUGUCACUAGCUUUUGCAGCGUGUUCUAGUGAAUUGGUGUGAAGAUGGGGAGACUCUCUGGAGCUGGGUGAUGCGCGGGAGAUAGAUGUCUGGCCAGAGUUCUAGAACCUCACCGGCGACGUCAUCUCCCGAGUGGCGUUCGGGAGCAGCUUCAGCAAAGGGAGAAGGAUAUUCAGGCUGCAAUCGGAGCAGGCACAGAGUGUUGUCAAGAUCGCAAACGUAAUGUACGUUCCAGGUUACAGAUUCCUGCCAACAAAGCUCAAUAGGAGGAUGAAGGCAAAUGCCUAUGAGGUCGAAGCGCUUCUCAAAGACAUAAUCACCAAGAGGGAGAGGGCGAUGACGGACGGCCAUGCCAACAACGACGAUCUAGGUGUGAUGAUGAAGGCCAACAUAAAUAUAAGCCAAGUAGCCGGAAGCUCCAAGCCAACGAUGACCUCCGAGGACAUAGUAGGGGAGCUGAAGCUCCUCUAUUUUGCGGGCAUGGAGACAACCGCGGUGCUGCUCACAUGGGCAAUGGUCUUGCUAAGCAUGCAUCACGAGUGGCAGGACCGUGCCAGGAAGGAGUUUCUGCAUGUCUUUGUAAAGAACCAAACGGAUUCUGAGGGCAUUGUAGAAGUGCUGCAGGUGACAAUGAUACUGCAUGAGGUUCUUAGAUUGUACCCACCGAUUUCCACUACAGGUCGGGAAGCGUAUAAAGAGUCGAAGCAGGGAGGUGUCACAUAUCCAGCCGGGGUAACAUUUGCGCUGCCAACUGUGUGCAUUCACCACGAUCCAGAUGUGUGGGGAGAAGAUGUCGAUGAAUUUAGGCCAGAGAGGUUUGCGGAGGGUAUCGCUGGCGCAUCCAAAAACUCGUCGGCGUUCUUUCUGUUCGGCUGGGGACCACGGAUUUGCGUCGGGCAAAACUUUGCAUUGCUGGAGGCCAAGAUGGGAUUGAGUGUGAUCCUACAACAUUUUAUCUUUGAGCUCUCGCCAUCUUACACUCAUGCGCCUUACCCGGUCUCCAGUCUACAGCCCCAGCACGAUUCACAGAUUAAGCUCAUGAAACUCUAA